GACGAACGCUGGCGGCGUGCUUAACACAUGCAAGUCGAACGGAAAGGCCCUGCUUUUGUGGGGUGCUCGAGUGGCGAACGGGUGAGUAACACGUGAGUAACCUGCCCUUGACUUUGGGAUAACUUCAGGAAACUGGGGCUAAUACCGGAUAGGAGCUCCUGCUGCAUGGUGGGGGUUGGAAAGUUUCGGCGGUUGGGGAUGGACUCGCGGCUUAUCAGCUUGUUGGUGGGGUAGUGGCUUACCAAGGCUUUGACGGGUAGCCGGCCUGAGAGGGUGACCGGCCACAUUGGGACUGAGAUACGGCCCAGACUCCUACGGGAGGCAGCAGUGGGGAAUAUUGCACAAUGGGCGGAAGCCCGAUGCAGCAACGCCGCGUGCGGGGUGACGGCCUUCGGGUUGUAAACCGCUUUCGCCUGUGACGAAGCGUGAGUGACGGUAAUGGGUAAAGAAGCACCGGCUAACUACGUG
Molecule: ribosomal RNA, 468 nt
Filed under: uncultured bacterium
Lineage: Bacteria
Description: partial 16S ribosomal RNA
Rfam family: Bacterial small subunit ribosomal RNA
Source: RNAcentral